Molecule: ribosomal RNA, 475 nt
Filed under: uncultured organism
Description: partial 16S ribosomal RNA
Rfam family: Bacterial small subunit ribosomal RNA
Source: RNAcentral
ACGUACACUCCUGCGGGAGGCAGCAGUGGGGAAUUUUGGACAAUGGGCGAAAGCCUGAUCCAGCCAUGCCGCGUGCAGGAUGAAGGCCUUCGGGUUGUAAACUGCUUUUGUACGGAACGAAACGGCCUUUUCUAAUAAAGAGGGCUAAUGACGGUACCGUAAGCAUAAGCACCGGCUAACUACGUGCCAGCAGCCGCGGUAAUACGUAGGGCGCAAGCGUUAAUAGGAAUUACUGGGCGUAAAGCGUGCGCAGGCGGUUAUGUAAGACAGUUGUGAAAUCCCCGGGCUCAACCUGGGAACUGCAUCUGUGACUGCAUAGCUAGAGUACGGUAGAGGGGGAUGGAAUUCCGCGUGUAGCAGUGAAAUGCGUAGAUAUGCGGAGGAACACCGAUGGCGAAGGCAAUCCCCUGGACCUGUACUGACGCUCAUGCACGAAAGCGUGGGGAGCAAACAGGAUUAGAUACCCUUGUAGUCC